GACGAACGCUGGCGGCGUGCUUAACACAUGCAAGUCGAACGGAAAGGCCCUGCUUUUGUGGGGUGCUCGAGUGGCGAACGGGUGAGUAACACGUGAGUAACCUGCCCUUGACUUUGGGAUAACUUCAGGAAACUGGGGCUAAUACCGGAUAGGAGCUCCUGCUGCAUGGUGUGGGUUGGAAAGUUUCGGCGGUUGGGGAUGGACUCGCGGCUUAUCAGCUUGUUGGUGGGGUAGUGGCGUACAAAGGCUUUGACGGGUAGCCGGCCUGGGAGGGUGACCGGGGACAUUGGGACUGAGAGACGGACCAGACUGCUACGGGAGGCAGCAGUGGGGAAUGUUGCACAAUGGGCGGAAGCCUGAGGCAGCAACGCCGCGUGCGGGAUGACGGCCUUCGGGUUGUAAACCGCUUUCGCCUGUGACGAAGCGUGAGUGACGGUAAUGGGUAAAGAAGCACCGGCUAACUACGUG
This 468-nucleotide ribosomal RNA is filed under the name uncultured bacterium. Its description in RNAcentral is "partial 16S ribosomal RNA". It matches the Rfam family "Bacterial small subunit ribosomal RNA", at positions 28 to 507 of the family's 1533-position model. The record is from RNAcentral.